RNAcentral lists this long non-coding RNA (1266 nucleotides) under Brassica napus (rape). RNAcentral describes it as "long non-coding RNA (BNAP_LNC005762)". The record is from RNAcentral. Lineage: Eukaryota; Viridiplantae; Streptophyta; Magnoliopsida; Brassicales; Brassicaceae.
CCUACAAUUUUAUAUUAAUGCUCAAUCAAUGUAAAUAGAAUGGACUAUCUUUUCUAUAUUAUUUAUAUAGCAUUCAUAGUAUGUCUUAAACAUAAAAAUAAAAUCAUCAACUAAGACGAGAUUACAAUAGAGAUUACAACUUAUUUAUAAGAAACUGAACUUGCUCACAAAACUAGAUAGUUAUUACAUUGGAAAUGAUAAAACUAGUGCAUGGAAGAGAGAGAGUGUUCUUGAAACAAUCAUUCCUUGCAUGUAGGAGAGAUAAACUUUCCAUGCAAUUAACCACCUAAUUUUCGUCACUCUUUGGACAGCAAAGAAACCAUUUGAUUUUGAAUCUUCUUGGACUUGUAACUUGAUAAAAAUGGGCUGGACAUGUUAGCUAAUAUCUUGGAUCAAUUUAUGAAUGUUUUCGAUGUCCAUAGCUUCACAUAUGAACCCAAUAUCACAUCAUACUCCUCCUCUUCAAAAAGGAUUUGUCUUCAAAUCUUGCUCUCCAAAGAAAGAAAAACUUGAACACACACUUCCCAAAUGAUCCAGCAGAUUUGAAAAACAUAAAUAAUAAAACUUUUUUUUUUGUAGAAGAUGAAUAGAUGAGAAUGAUGGAUAACAGAAGUGAAUACCAAACUCAGAGUGUUGCUCUGAUACCAAAUGAUGAAAAUCUCCCGAGGAUUCGGCACUCUAAGUUGGUAAAGAGGAUAAUCCUUGCUGCUAUGAAAUCGUAAAGCUUAGACAAAGAAUGUGGACUGAAUGGUCGCACGCGGAAGGCCUUCGAUAUUCCAACUCAAUGCCCUAGGAUAUGACGCACCUAGACGACAAUGAGGAUGAUUUCCUGGAUAUGACACACCAGGACGAAUCGGUUUGAUCCCUUGGAUAUGACGCACCAAGACGGAUCAAAAAUAUCAAUGGAUAUUACACACCAUUGAAAGAAAAGUGAGAAUCACUCUCAAGGUUCCAAAAAUAAUCACUCAAAGUUUAUUUUAUUUCAAUGGAAAUUACAACUUAUUUAUGAGAAACUAAACUUGCUCACAAAGCUAGAUAGUUAUUACAUUGGAAAUGAUAAAACUAGUGCAUGGAAGAGAGAGAGUGUUCUUGAAACAAUCAUUCCUUGCAUGUAGGAGAGAUAAGCUUUCCAUGCAAUUAACCACCUAAUUUUCGUCACUCUCUUUGGACAGCAAAGAAACCAUUUGAUUUUGAAUCUUCUUGGGCUUGUAACUUGAUAAAAAUGGGUUGGACAUGUUAGCUAAUAUCUUGGGUCAAUUUCUGAAU